RNAcentral lists this ribosomal RNA (474 nucleotides) under uncultured bacterium. RNAcentral describes it as "bacterial SSU rRNA". It matches the Rfam family "Bacterial small subunit ribosomal RNA", at positions 385 to 859 of the family's 1533-position model. The record is from RNAcentral.
GAACCAGCCAUGCCGCGUGAAGGAUGACGGCCCUAUGGGUUGUAAACUUCUUUUAUAGAGGAAGAAACUUGUCUACGUGUAGACAACUGACGGUACCAUACGAAUAAGGAUCGGCUAACUCCGUGCCAGCAGCCGCGGUAAUACGGAGGAUCCAAGCGUUAUCCGGAUUCAUUGGGUUUAAAGGGUCCGUAGGCGGGUCUUUAAGUCAGUGGUGAAAGCCGACAGCUCAACUGUCGAACUGCCAUUGGUACUGGAGACCUUGAGUACAAAUGAAGUAGGCGGAAUGAGUCAUGUAGCGGUGAAAUGCAUAGAUAUGACUCAGAACACCGAUUGCGAAGGCAGCUUACUAACAUGUAACUGACGCUGAGGGACGAAAGCGUGGGGAGCGAACAGGAUUAGAUACCCUGGUAGUCCACGCCGUAAACGAUCAUCACUCGCUGUUGGCGAUAUACUGUCAGCGGCCAAGCGAAAGUA